RNAcentral lists this ribosomal RNA (571 nucleotides) under uncultured Pseudozyma. RNAcentral describes it as "eukaryotic LSU rRNA". It matches the Rfam family "Eukaryotic large subunit ribosomal RNA", at positions 104 to 657 of the family's 3401-position model. The record is from RNAcentral. Lineage: Eukaryota; Fungi; Basidiomycota; Ustilaginomycetes; Ustilaginales; Ustilaginaceae.
GAGCCCAAGAUUGAAAGCUGGCGUCUUCGGCGUCCGCAUUGUAAUCUCAAGAAGUGUUUUCCGCUUCGGACCAAGCCUAAGUCCCCUGGAAAGGGGCAUCAUAGAGGGUGAUAAUCCCGUACAUGGCUUGGAGCGCCCGAGGCUUUGUGAUACGCUUUCUAAGAGUCGAGUUGUUUGGGAAUGCAGCUCAAAAUGGGUGGUAAAUGCCAUCUAAGGCUAAAUAUUGGGGAGAGACCGAUAGCGAACAAGUACAGUGAUGGAAAGAUGAAAAGAACUUUGAAAAGAGAGUUAAACAGUACGUGAAAUUGCCAAAAGGGAAGGGUAGGAGGUCAGAGAUGCGUCGCAGGAUUCAGCCUUGCUUUUGCUUGGUGUUUUUCCUGCGUUGCAGGCCAACGUCGGUUUUGGGCACUGGAGAAGGGUAGGAGGAACGUGGCACCUCUCGGGGUGUGUUAUAGCCUCCUACUGGAUACAGCGACCGAGACCGAGGACAGCAGCGUACUCGCAAGAGCGGGCCUUCGGGCACCUUUACGCUUAGGGCGUUGGCAUAAUGGCCCUCUACCACCCGUCUUGA